This 325-nucleotide ribosomal RNA is filed under the name uncultured eukaryote. RNAcentral's name for it is "partial 18S ribosomal RNA". It matches the Rfam family "Eukaryotic small subunit ribosomal RNA", at positions 1470 to 1796 of the family's 1831-position model. The record is from RNAcentral.
CCCUUAGAUGUUCUGGGCCGCACGCGCGCUACACUGAUGCAUUCAACGAGCCUAUCCUUGACCGACAGGUCCGGGUAAUCUUUGAAUCUGCAUCGUGACGGGGAUAGAUUAUUGCAAUUAUUAAUCUUCAACGAGGAAUGCCUAGUAGGCGCAAGUCAUCAGCUUGCGUCGAUUACGUCCCUGCCCUUUGUUCACACCGCCCGUCGCUCCUACCGAUUGGGUGUGCUGGUGAAAUGUUCGGAUCGGCCGUUUGUCGCGGUUUCCGCGGCUCGUGGCUGAGAAGUUCAUUAAACCCUCCCACCUAGAGGAAGGAGAAGUCGUAACA